GGUAAGAAGUCCAAAGGAGAGUUGAAUGACUUUUCACACUGACCUUCUUAAACUAAAGUAUCUCAGCCAAUGUGCCUUAACCAAAGUCUUUCAGCUAUUUUCAUUUUUUAUUUUAGUGGCCCUCACCUUGCAGUCACACCUGCAUGAGUCAGGCCUUUUAUGUAAAGCAUAUGGGGCAUGCUUCUGCACAGAUGCUGAACUGCAGAAUUGUCCUAACUCAUAUUUUAUAAUUACUCUGGUCCACAUAGUGCAUUAAAAAGGACUGUUUUUGUUGUUGUCAUCAUUGUUGUUAUUUUAAUCUAGAUAUAUGUGUCUUUAUUAGGUAACUUUAAUAUGUAGUAAAUGUAGAGGUAGACACAGUAAAAUUCAAUAAUCAACGAAAAAUAAAAAUAAAAAGCGUGAGUUUACAAUUGAAAUACAAGCCUAAACCUGGAUGUAUGGACUAUAUAAAUCUGCUUAGAAUUCAUUUCUCUGAAUGUCCUUGGGCAUGGAUGGACAGCCCCAGAAGGUAAGUUUGGACACACACACCUUCUGGAUCACCACCUCAGCUCACAAGCUCACAGGAGAAGGUGUUGCCUUUUUGUUAUGGUGCACUGUCAAAAACACAGCUCCCUAGAGUUUGGCCAGCAAACGUAGCUGCUAUGGUAAUACAGACUGUAAAUAAUGUCAGGUAAUAGUCCAGAUAUGACCAAUAAUCUAUUUUUGUUCCUAUUUUUUCAAUAGGACAACUCAGCCUGAAUAAAGGUGACAAAAUUAGAUCUGAGCUCUAACAAUGGCAUAGUAAAUGGCAUUUGUUUUAUUUGGAAGAAGAUAGACUCAACAGUGGCUACAAGCAAUGGAUAUAAGCAUAACUGUGGAUUUCUCAGAAAUUUCAUGGAUUUUCUGCUAGUGUCUCUAGAAAACAUACAAGAUGCUUAGCAAUGACAAGUUGAAAUCCUACCCUGAAUUUAGGGAAAAGAAUUCAUCUUUCAAACGAUUGUAUCUGAUGCUGGAUGUAAAAACAAGUUCUUCUAGAGGAAGGAAGAUGAAAACAAGUGGCAGGCACAAGCUAGAGGAGGCUGUUUUCUCGUUCCACUACCUUGCCAGACUACAGUUGCUUUUAUGCCACCGCCACACAAGCGCCUGUCUGAAACAACAAGAAACCUGAGGAAAGCAUGAUUCUGUGCUAAACUUGUUAGAAAAGAUUAUAAAAGAAAACAGCUACUAAUAACUAACAUCAGGUUCCCACUCAUUAUUAGCAUCACAAAUGUAAAAUGGCUGCCAAUAAGAGUCAGCUCUGAAAUCUUAUUAGAAAGAAAUGUCACACCAUAUUUCUGGUUAUAAAUGCUAUUUUGUGACCCUUGGCUAAAUGCAAUGGGCUGCUCCCCUUAACGUGUAUGUUUUUAGUGAUGAAUUUGUAUUAGCAAAAGAAUAAUAAAUAUCUGAUCACUUUCUCA
Molecule: long non-coding RNA, 1436 nt
Filed under: Anas platyrhynchos platyrhynchos (common mallard)
Lineage: Eukaryota; Metazoa; Chordata; Aves; Anseriformes; Anatidae
Description: lncRNA (ENSAPLG00000030330.1)
Source: RNAcentral